Molecule: ribosomal RNA, 253 nt
Filed under: uncultured bacterium
Lineage: Bacteria
Description: partial 16S ribosomal RNA
Rfam family: Bacterial small subunit ribosomal RNA
Source: RNAcentral
UACGUAGGGUGCGAGCGUUGUCCGGAAUUAUUGGGCGUAAAGAGCGUGUAGGCGGCUUGAUAAGUCUGCUGUGAAAGUCCAGGGCUCAACCCUGGAAAGCCGGUGGAUACUGUCGAGCUAGAGUCCGGAAGGGGCGAGUGGAAUUCCUGGUGUAGCGGUGAAAUGCGCAGAUAUCAGGAGGAACACCGAUGGCGAAGGCAGCUCGCUGGGACGGUACUGACGCUGAGGCGCGAAAGCGUGGGGAGCGAACAGG